CAGCAGCCGCGGGAAUACGUAGGGUGCGAGCGUUAAUCGGAAUUACUGGGCGUAAAGCGUGCGCAGGCGGUUAUAUAAGACAGAUGUGAAAUCCCCGGGCUCAACCUGGGACCUGCAUUUGUGACUGUAUAGCUAGAGUACGGUAGAGGGGGAUGGAAUUCCGCGUGUAGCAGUGAAAUGCGUAGAUAUGCGGAGGAACACCGAUGGCGAAGGCAAUCCCCUGGACCUGUACUGACGCUCAUGCAUGAAAGCGUGGGGAGCAAACAGGAUUAGAUACCCCAGUAGUCCCUGUCUCUUAUAC
Molecule: ribosomal RNA, 301 nt
Filed under: uncultured bacterium
Lineage: Bacteria
Description: partial 16S ribosomal RNA
Rfam family: Bacterial small subunit ribosomal RNA
Source: RNAcentral